CGGGGCGUAGCUCAGGUUGGUAGAGCACUUGGAUGGGGGCCAAGGGGUCGCUGGUUCAAGUCCAGUCGCCCCGACCA
Molecule: transfer RNA, 77 nt
Filed under: Armatimonadota bacterium
Lineage: Bacteria; Bacillati; Armatimonadota
Description: tRNA-Pro
Rfam family: tRNA
About the family: Transfer RNA (tRNA) molecules are approximately 80 nucleotides in length. Their secondary structure includes four short double-helical elements and three loops (D, anti-codon, and T loops).
Source: RNAcentral